This 489-nucleotide ribosomal RNA is filed under the name Euastacus neohirsutus. Its description in RNAcentral is "partial 16S ribosomal RNA". It matches the Rfam family "Bacterial large subunit ribosomal RNA", at positions 1943 to 2644 of the family's 2925-position model. The record is from RNAcentral. Lineage: Eukaryota; Metazoa; Arthropoda; Malacostraca; Decapoda; Parastacidae.
UGACCGUGCGAAGGUAGCAUAAUCAUUAGUCUUUUAAUUGAAGGCUUGUAUGAAUGGUUGGACGAGAAGUAAUCUGUCUCUAUUAAAAAAAUUGAAUUUAACUUUUGAGUGAGAAGGCUUAAAUGAUCUAGAGGGACGAUAAGACCCUAUAAAGUUUAACAUUAUAAUAACAAAAAGUUGAUUGGGUUGGAGAAUUUAUUAUUAUGAAUAGUGUUUUGUUGGGGCGACAAGAAUAUAAACAAUUUAACUGUUCUUUUUUGUAUCAAAGAUAUUUGGGUUAAUGAUCUUUUUAAGAGUAUUAGAGUAAAUUACUUUAGGGAUAACAGCGUAAUUUUUUUUGAGAGUUCUUAUCGACAAAAGAGUUUGCGACCUCGAUGUUGAAUUAAAGAUUCUUUAUAAUGUAGAAGUUAUAUAAGAAGGUCUGUUCGACCUUUAAAUCUUUACAUGAUUUGAGUUCAGACCGGUGUGAGCCAGGUUGGUUUCUAUCUA